RNAcentral lists this long non-coding RNA (927 nucleotides) under Brassica napus (rape). RNAcentral describes it as "long non-coding RNA (BNAP_LNC024826)". Lineage: Eukaryota; Viridiplantae; Streptophyta; Magnoliopsida; Brassicales; Brassicaceae. The record is from RNAcentral.
GAAUGGUCUCUCUCGUCUUCAUCUUCAUUCUCAUUUAUGUGUGUGGGUUGCAGAGAUCAGAUCUUUUUAUGGUUUUCUGGUGAAUUUGCGGUUGUGUUUUUAGAUCUGUGGGUUGAUAGUGGUUGAAGCUGUUUUGUCGUUCUGAUGGUGCCUUUUGUCUCUCAGUUCCAUUCUCAUCUGAAUCGGGAGAUGGUCUCGAGGUUUGUACCUUCGUCAUGGAUGAAGUGGUGAUCAUGAAUUAUGUGACUGGUGAAGCAAGUCCGAUGCAAACAAGUUGAGUCUCCUCUGAUCUCUAUCAUAGCCUCCUGUCUACAUGCCGUUUGUAUUCUAAUCUUUCAUGGUUUCGUUGUCUUUUAGCAAUGAUGGGCUUUGUGCUCUGCUGGUGUUUGGUUGUAUAUUACUGGCGUUGAAGAUUUUUUAUAUUGGUCUUGGUGGCAACGGUUCAGUCAUAGUGUUGACUGUUGUUAAUCGCAAGGUCUUGACUGAGUUUCUCCGGCUCUAGUCCAACAGUUUGGAGCAUGGCUCAUGUUUACUUAAAUUGUGGGAAGUCGGAAGGUGGACUUCAAUGGCUUCUAAUCUUAUCAAAAUGGAAGCAAAUGGUUCUUAUAGAGAUGAUUUCAACUUCAGUUAUGACCGUAAACGCAAGUCUUCUCAGAUUUCUAUGAUGGUUUUUGGGCUCGGAAGCAGCCUCAAACCAAGGCAUGAUAGUGCUGUGUUUCUACGCUCUGCUGGUUCUUGGUUGGGAGCAAUCUUUGUUUUCGUCUUCCUUGUAGUGAGGUUAUGGUAUGGUAUCUAAUGAUACUACUUUCUAACCUUCAAUCUUUAUGAUUUUCCAAUUCUUUUUUCUAGAGUUGGUUUCUUGGUAUAUUUCUUCGUGUGUGGAGAACAUCUUUCUCAUUAUGUAACUCUUUCAUUUGAUAAACAAAC